CUCGACAACGGAUAUCUCGGCUCUCGCAUCGAUGAAGAACGUAGUGAAAUGCGAUACUUGGUGUGAAUUGCAGAAUCCCGUGAACCAUCGAGUUUUUGAACGCAAGUUGCGCCCAAAGCCUUUUGGCCGAAGGGCACGUCUGCUUGGGCGUCACG
This 155-nucleotide ribosomal RNA is filed under the name Begonia palmata. RNAcentral's name for it is "5.8S ribosomal RNA". It matches the Rfam family "5.8S ribosomal RNA". Rfam says of the family: 5.8S ribosomal RNA (5.8S rRNA) is a component of the large subunit of the eukaryotic ribosome. It is transcribed by RNA polymerase I as part of the 45S precursor that also contains 18S and 28S rRNA. Lineage: Eukaryota; Viridiplantae; Streptophyta; Magnoliopsida; Cucurbitales; Begoniaceae. The record is from RNAcentral.